RNAcentral lists this ribosomal RNA (484 nucleotides) under uncultured bacterium. RNAcentral describes it as "partial 16S ribosomal RNA". It matches the Rfam family "Bacterial small subunit ribosomal RNA", at positions 30 to 507 of the family's 1533-position model. The record is from RNAcentral.
AUUGAACGCUGGCGGCAGGCCUAACACAUGCAAGUCGAGCGGAUGAAGGGAGCUUGCUCCUGGAUUCAGCGGCGGACGGGUGAGUAAUGCCUAGGAAUCUGCCUGGUAGUGGGGGAUAACGUCCGGAAACGGGCGCUAAUACCGCAUACGUCCUGAGGGAGAAAGUGGGGGAUCUUCGGACCUCACGCUCUCAGAUGAGCCUAGGUCGGAUUAGCUAGUUGGUGGGGUAAAGGCUUACCAAGGCGACGAUCCGUAACUGGUCUGAGAGGAUGAUCAGGCACACUGGAACUGAGACACGGUCCAGACGACUACGGGAGGCAGCAGUGGGGAAUAUUGGACAGUGGGCGAAAGCAUGAUCCAGCCAUGCCGCGUGUGUGAAGAAGGUCUUCGGAUUGUAAAGAACUUUAAGGUGGGAGGAAGGGCAGUAAGUUAAUACCUUGCUGGAUUGACGGUACCAACAGAAUAAGCACCGGCUAACUACGUG